Molecule: regulatory RNA element, 114 nt
Organism: Winogradskyella sp. PC-19
Lineage: Bacteria; Pseudomonadati; Bacteroidota; Flavobacteriia; Flavobacteriales; Flavobacteriaceae
Rfam family: Bacteroidete tryptophan peptide leader RNA
Source: Rfam
UCAUUUCUAUAUUUGACAUCAAAUGAGAAAACAACAAACAUGGUGGUGGUAUUUUACUAACGAAACGUUCGUGAAAUAGUCCAUUGUGUUAAUUGAAAUACUAAAAGGCUUGUC